This 484-nucleotide ribosomal RNA is filed under the name uncultured bacterium. RNAcentral describes it as "partial 16S ribosomal RNA". It matches the Rfam family "Bacterial small subunit ribosomal RNA", at positions 30 to 507 of the family's 1533-position model. The record is from RNAcentral.
AUUGAACGCUGGCGGCAGGCCUAACACAUGCAAGUCGAGCGGAUGAAGGGAGCUUGCUCCUGGAUUCAGCGGCGGACGGGUGAGUAAUGCCUAGGAAUCUGCCUGGUAGUGGGGGAUAACGUCCGGAAACGGGCGCUAAUACCGCAUACGUCCUGAGGGAGAAAGUGGGGGAUCUUCGGACCUCACGCUAUCAGAUGAUCCUAGGUCGGAUUAGCUAGUUGGUGGGGUAAAGGCCUACCAAGGCGACGAUCCGUAACUGGUCUGAGAGGAUGAUCAGUCACACUGGAACUGAGACACGGUCCAGACUCCUACGGGAGGCAGCCGUGGGGAAUAUUGGACAAUGGGCGAAAGCCAGAUCCAGCCAUGCCGCGUGUGUGAAGAAGGUCUUCGGAUUGUAAAGCACUUUAAGUUGGGAGGAAGGGCAGUAAGUUAAUACCUUGCUGUUUUGACGUUACCAACAGAAUAAGCACCGGCUAACUUCGUG